GUGGGUGGAAUAGUAUAACAAUAUGCUAAAUGUUGUUAUAGUAUCCCACCUACCC
Molecule: microRNA precursor, 55 nt
Organism: Chlorocebus sabaeus (green monkey)
Lineage: Eukaryota; Metazoa; Chordata; Mammalia; Primates; Cercopithecidae
Source: Ensembl